GUUGUAUGGUUAAGUGACUAAGCGUACACGGUGGAUGCCUUGGCAGUCAGAGGCGAUGAAGGACGUAUUAACUUGCGAUAAGCCCAGAUUAGGUAGUAAAAACCAUUUGAGUCUGGGAUUUCCGAAUGGGGAAACCCAAUACCAUAAGGUAUUACUGUUGAGUGAAUACAUAGCUCAACAGGGCGAACCGGGGGAACUGAAACAUCUAAGUACCCCGAGGAAAAGAAAUCAACCGAGAUUCCGAAAGUAGCGGCGAGCGAAAUUGGACUAGCCCUUAAGCUUUACACGCGUUAGACGAACAGCCUGGAAAGGCUGACGAUACAGGGUGAUAGUCCCGUAGUUGACGACGUGUGUUCAGUGAAAUCGAGUAGGGCGGGACACGUGAUAUCCUGUCUGAAUAUGGGGGGACCAUCCUCCAAGGCUAAAUACUACUGACUGACCGAUAGUGAACCAGUACCGUGAGGGAAAGGCGAAAAGAACCCCUGUGAGGGGAGUGAAAUAGAACCUGAAACCGUGUACGU
Molecule: ribosomal RNA, 521 nt
Filed under: Vibrio alginolyticus
Lineage: Bacteria; Pseudomonadati; Pseudomonadota; Gammaproteobacteria; Vibrionales; Vibrionaceae
Description: partial 23S ribosomal RNA
Rfam family: Bacterial large subunit ribosomal RNA
Source: RNAcentral